CCCUUAGAUGUCCUGGGCUGCACGCGCGCUACACUGACGAACUCAACGAGCUUAUCACCUUGGCAGAGAUGUCUGGGUAAUCUUUUGAAAGUUCGUCGUGCUGGGGAUAGAUGAUUGUAAUUAUUCGUCUUGAGCGAGGAAUUCCUAGUAAGUGUGAGUCAUCAGCUCGCGCUGAUUACGUCCCUGCCCUUUGUACACACCGCCCGUCGCUCCUACCGAUUGAAUGGUCCGGUGAGGUUCUCGGAUUUUUUCUGUUGUUUGGUUCGCUAAACGAUUGAGGAGAGAAGUUACCCAAACCUUACCAUUUAGAGGAAGGAGAAGUCGUAACA
This 329-nucleotide ribosomal RNA is filed under the name uncultured eukaryote. RNAcentral's name for it is "partial 18S ribosomal RNA". It matches the Rfam family "Eukaryotic small subunit ribosomal RNA", at positions 1470 to 1796 of the family's 1831-position model. The record is from RNAcentral.